This 1753-nucleotide long non-coding RNA is filed under the name Sus scrofa (pig). RNAcentral describes it as "lncRNA (ENSSSCG00000055531.1)". Lineage: Eukaryota; Metazoa; Chordata; Mammalia; Artiodactyla; Suidae. The record is from RNAcentral.
UCCUAUUUGUUUAUUUUUGCUUUUGUUUCCAUUAUUCCACAAGACAGAUCCAAAAAAAAUUGCUGCAAUUUAUGUCAAAGAGUGUGCCGCCUAUGUUUUCCUCUGGGAGUUUUGUAGUAUCCAGUAUUACAUUUAGGUCUUUAAUCUAUUCAGAGUUUAUUUUUGUGUAUGGUAUUAGAGAAUGUUCUAAUUUCAUUCUUUUACAUGUAGCUGUUCAGUUUUCUCGUCACCACUUAUUGAAGAGACAGUCUUUUCUGUGUUGUAUAUUCUUGCGUUCUUUGUCAUAGAUUAAUUGACCAUAAGUGCGUGGAUUUAUUUCUGAGCUUUCUAUCCUUCUCCAUUGAUUUAUGUGUCUGUUUUUGUGCUAGUACCAUAAUGUUUUGAUUACUGUAGCUUUGCAGUAUAGUCUGAAGUCAGGGAGCUGGAUUCCUCUAACUCCAUUUUUCUUUCUCAAGAUUGUUUUGACUAUUUGGGGUCUUUUGUGUUUUUGUACAAAUUUAAAAAUUUUUUGUUCUAAUUCUGUGAAAAAUGCCAUCGGUGAUUUGAUAGGAUUUGCUUUGAAUCUAUAGAUUGCUUUGGGUAGUUUAGCCAUUUUAGCAAUCUUGAUUCUUCCAAUCCAAGAACACAGUAUAUCUUUCCAUCUAUUUGUGUCAUUUUCAAUUUUUGCCUUAGUAAUUUAUUAAAGAUCUUUAUCACAAUGGCUGCGCCCAUGGCAUAUGGAAGUUCCCAGGCCAGGUACUGAAUCCCAGUUGCUACUGCAAACUAUACCACAGCUUCAGCAAUGCCAGAUUGUUAACCCACUGCACCACAGCAGGAACUCCCAAGUUCUAACAAUUUCGAAUUGUCUUUGUCUUCCAAUUCUAUCAUUAGUAAGCAUUAGCGAACUAUAUCAUUUUCAAAAAAUAUAAAAUUUUUUUAAAAAACAGGAACCAAAGCUCGAAUAAUAUCUUUAUAUACUGAUGGGCCAAUGAAGAUUAAGGAUCUCACUUAAGCAAAUAAAUUGUUAUCCUAAGAUGAAACUAUGAACCAUAGCCUAUUCUUGAAUUUGCUAAUUUGUCUUCUCUCUUUGAAAACAUUUACUCUCUGUUUCUGAUAUAUACAUAGCCAUUUUAUGUAUUUUUAAAUAUUUCGUCUUUGGAAUAUUAUAUGUCCUUUAUCUUAUCAAAAAUUACUUUUCUAAUCUUGAAAUUCUAUUACGUUUUAUAAUCAAAUGGAAAGAUAUUAUUUUUCAAAAAUCCACAUGAUUAACAACAACAGUUCAUAUAAUAGGAAACUCUAGUAUCUUUAUUUAGAAGAAGAAACAUCUUUACUACUAUAUUCAGUACAUCUGCUUUUUUUAGCUAAAGAUUCAAGAUACUGAAGAAACAAAGUUGCAUUGGACUAUUUCUCUUUUUUAAAUGUUAUUUAACAAGUCUCUGAGUGAUCAGGAAAGAUUCUUCUUCUGCUUAUUUUUGUCUUAUGCUUUUUUCCUCUUGUCUGUUUUCUAUCCCAUUUCAUUUUUACGCCUUCUUACUUUUAAGGACACAUAUCACACCCUGAAAAUGCUGCUUGCACAUCUCUAUUCUGUUUAUGACUAGGGUAAUGUCAUUGGCAUUUUAAUAUUUUACAGCAGCAGUCAUGACCAGACAUUCCUCUCCUCAUUUUUCCUUUUUCCUUUCUAUCUGUUACUCUUUAUUUUGCUUAAGCCUGAAUAAUAGAAUACCUAUAUGAAAUUGAAAGAAAGCUAAUUUUUAAAAAGGAAUGGCCAUAACUU